UGAGCAAUCUGCCCUUCACAUCGGAAUAACCAUUGGAAACGAUGGCUAAUACCGAAUAUGACUUCGGAUCGCAUGAUCUGAAGUGGAAAGCUCCGGCGGUGAAGGAUGAGCUCGCGGCCUAUCAGCUUGUUGGUGAGGUAAUAGCUCACCAAGGCGAUGGACC
RNAcentral lists this ribosomal RNA (163 nucleotides) under uncultured bacterium. Its description in RNAcentral is "partial 16S ribosomal RNA". It matches the Rfam family "Bacterial small subunit ribosomal RNA", at positions 118 to 281 of the family's 1533-position model. The record is from RNAcentral.